This 67-nucleotide microRNA precursor is filed under the name Bombyx mori (domestic silkworm). Its description in RNAcentral is "mir-2774 microRNA precursor family". It matches the Rfam family "mir-2774 microRNA precursor family". Lineage: Eukaryota; Metazoa; Arthropoda; Insecta; Lepidoptera; Bombycidae. The record is from Rfam by way of RNAcentral.
UUAACAUACGGACCGUGUAUCUACUCAGCAAUUUCACUCGCUCAGUGGAGGAUCAUCUCUUUGUCCU